AUUGAACGCUGGCGGCAUGCUUUACACAUGCAAGUCGAACGGUAACAGGCCUUCGGGUGCUGACGAGUGGCGAACGGGUGAGUAAUGCAUCGGAACGUGCCCAAUCGUGGGGGAUAACGUAGCGAAAGUUACGCUAAUACCGCAUAAGCCCUGAGGGGGAAAGUGGGGGACCGCAAGGCCUCACGCGAAUGGAGCGGCCGAUGUCAGAUUAGCUAGUUGGUGGGGUAAAGGCCCACCAAGGCGACGAUCUGUAGCGGGUCUGAGAGGAUGAUCCGCCACACUGGAACUGAGACACGGUCCAGACUCCUACGGGAGGCAGCAGUGGGGAAUUUUGGACAAUGGGCGCAAGCCUGAUCCAGCCAUGCCGCGUGAGUGAGAAGG
RNAcentral lists this ribosomal RNA (381 nucleotides) under uncultured bacterium. Its description in RNAcentral is "bacterial SSU rRNA". It matches the Rfam family "Bacterial small subunit ribosomal RNA", at positions 29 to 413 of the family's 1533-position model. The record is from RNAcentral.